CCUACGGGGGGCAGCAGUGGGGAAUAUUGCACAAUGGGGGAAACCCUGAUGCAGCGACGCCGCGUGAGUGAAGAAGUAAUUCGGUAUGUAAAGCUCUAUCAGCAGGGAAGAAAAUGACGGUACCUGAGUAAGAAGCCCCGGCUAACUACGUGCCAGCAGCCGCGGCAAUACGUAGGGGGCAAGCGUUAUCCGGAUUUACUGGGUGUAAAGGGAGCGUAGACGGCAGUGCAAGUCUGGAGUGAAAGGCGGGGGCUCAACCCCCGGACUGCUCUGGAAACUGUACGGCUGGAGUGCAGGAGAGGUAAGUGGAAUUCCUGGUGUAGCGGUGAAAUGCGUAGAUAUUAGGAGGAACACCAGUGGCGAAGGCGGAUUACUGGACUGUAACUGACGUUGAGGCUCGAAAGCGUGGGGAGCAAACAGGAUUAGAUACCCCGGUAGUC
Molecule: ribosomal RNA, 440 nt
Filed under: uncultured bacterium
Lineage: Bacteria
Description: partial 16S ribosomal RNA
Rfam family: Bacterial small subunit ribosomal RNA
Source: RNAcentral